AACGAACGCUGGCGGCAUGCCUAACACAUGCAAGUCGAACGAGAUCUUCGGGUCUAGUGGCGCACGGGUGCGUAACGCGUGGGAAUCUGCCCUUUGGUUCGGAAUAACAGUUGGAAACGACUGCUAAUACCGGAUGAUGACGGAAGUCCAAAGAUUUAUCGCCAGAGGAUGAGCCCGCGUAGGAUUAGCUAGUUGGUGUGGUAAAGGCGCACCAAGGCGACGAUCCUUAGCCGGUCUGAGAGGAUGAUCAGCCACACUGGGACUGAGACACGGCCCAGACUCCUACGGGAGGCAGCAGUGGGGAAUAUUGGACAAUGGGCGAAAGCCUGAUCCAGCAAUGCCGCGUGAGUGAUGAAGGCCUUAGGGUUGUAAAGCUCUUUUACCCGGGAUGAUAAUGACAGUACCGGGAGAAUAAGCUCCGGCUAACUCCGUGCCAGCCGCCGCAGUAA
This 449-nucleotide ribosomal RNA is filed under the name uncultured bacterium. RNAcentral describes it as "partial 16S ribosomal RNA". It matches the Rfam family "Bacterial small subunit ribosomal RNA", at positions 29 to 523 of the family's 1533-position model. The record is from RNAcentral.